CAGCUAGCUUAUUCACCAAUAUAACCAAAUAAUACAAAUAAAAUAGAAUAAACCAAACACCAAAAACUAAACCAUUCUUUUACCUGAGUAUGGGAGACAGAAAAGGUUCAACCAAAGCAAUAGAAACAGUACCGCAAGGGAAAGCUGAAAGAGAAAUGAAAUAACCCAUAUAAGUACUAAAAAGCAAAGACUAAACCUUGUACCUUUUGCAUCAUGAUUUAGCCAGUAAACACAAGCAAAGAGACCUUUAGUUUGAAACCCCGAAACCAGGUGAGCUACCCCGAGACAGCCUAUUAAGGGCCAACCCGUCUCUGUGGCAAAAGAGUGGGAAGAGCUCCGGGUAGAAGUGACAGACCUACCGAACCUGGUGAUAGCUGGUUGCCUAAGAAAUGGAUAGAAGUUCAGCCUCGUGCACCUCAAAUCAAACAAGCACUAACCAAGAUUUUAAGAGAAAAACACGAGAGUUAGUUAAAGGGGGUACAGCCCCUUUAACAAAGGAUACAACCUUAUCCAGGAGGAUAAAGAUCAUAAUAUAUAAAAUAUGCUGUUCUAGUGGGCCUAAAAGCAGCCACCUAAGCAGAAAGCGUUAAAGCUCAGACAGAAAAAAAUUUAUUAUUCUGAUAAAAAAUCUUACUCCCCUAAAUACUAUUAGGCUAAUCCAUGCACCCAUGGAAGAAAUUAUGCUAAAAUGAGUAACAAGAAGGCCCGACCUUCUCCAAGCACAAGUGUAAGCCAAACCGGACUAACCAUUGGCAACUAACGAACUCAACCCAAGAGAGCAAUGUGAACAAUAAAAAAAAACAAGAAAAAUCCACAACCAAAAAUCGUUAACCCCACACUGGAGUGCUACUAAAGGAAAGACUAAAAGAAAGGGAAGGAACUCGGCAAACACAAGCCUCGCCUGUUUACCAAAAACAUCGCCUCCUGCAACGCAACCAUGUAUAGGAGGUCCAGCCUGCCCAGUGACUACAAGUUCAACGGCCGCGGUAUUUUGACCGUGCAAAGGUAGCGCAAUCACUUGUCUUUUAAAUAGAGACCUGUAUGAAUGGCUAAACGAGGGCUUAACUGUCUCCCCCUUCAAGUCAGUGAAAUUGAUCUGCCCGUGCAGAAGCG
RNAcentral lists this ribosomal RNA (1113 nucleotides) under Rectoris posehensis. RNAcentral's name for it is "partial 16S ribosomal RNA". The stretch from base 182 to 1094 matches the Rfam family "Bacterial large subunit ribosomal RNA", at positions 568 to 2044 of the family's 2925-position model. The record is from RNAcentral. Lineage: Eukaryota; Metazoa; Chordata; Actinopteri; Cypriniformes; Cyprinidae.